Molecule: unclassified non-coding RNA, 200 nt
Filed under: Hydnotrya sp.
Lineage: Eukaryota; Fungi; Ascomycota; Pezizomycetes; Pezizales; Discinaceae
Description: partial internal transcribed spacer 2
Source: RNAcentral
UUAAGUUCAGCGGGUAUCCCUACCUGAUCCGAGCUCAACCGUCUUGAUGUUGGCGCCAUAGCGCUUAAGGUCCCGUUGCCUCUGUCAGGUUUGACAGCCAACGAGAUUGAAUCUCACUACGUCGGCCGCAAUCCUCAGGCUCGCAGACAUCGAAUUUGAGCGGUGCGCACACAGUUCAGGGUGUGGGCAUCCACCAGGAC